CACGCAUGACACACUGCAUAUCAAUAAGCGGAGGAAAAGAAACUAACGAGGAUUCCCUUAGUAACGGCGAGUGAAGCGGGAAGAGCUCAAAUUUGAAAUCUUCAAGGUUCUACCUUGACGAAUUGUAGUUUAUAGAAGUGUUUUCUGUUAGUAGAGUGGCAAAAGUUCUUUGGAAUAGGACAUCAUAGAGGGUGAGAAUCCCGUAUUUGGUCAUUCUUUCUAGCUUUGUGAUACACUUUCAAAGAGUCGGAUUGUUUGGGAAUGCAGUCCAAAAUGGGUGGUAAGUUUCAUCUAAAGCUAAAUAUUGGCGAGAGACCGAUAGCGAACAAGUACCGUGAGGGAAAGAUGAAAUGAACUUUGAAAAGAGAGUUAAACAGUACGCUGAAAUUGUCAAAAGGGAAGCGUUUGACACCAGUGUUGUUUAGUUGAAAAUCAGUUCAAUAGUUUUUGAUUCUAAGUAGUAUUGACUUCAUCAGCUUGCUGCUUUCUUCUCAGAAAUUAUUGAAUGCACUUUUCAGUUAACAAGUCAACAUCAAUUUCUUUUGUUGUAAAAGGGUAAGAGGAAGGUGGCUUGCGCUUCGGCUCAAGUGUUUAUAGCCUUUGACUUCUGCAAUCGGAGAGAUUGAGGUCUGCAGCGUAGAUCCUUCGGGGUUAGAUACAUUUGUGCUAAGUUAUAGUUUUUCAUAGACAACAUGUUGACUAUGAUUAAUCAUGUAGCUUACUCGCUUAUGCUAUUUUACCUACGCUUAGGAUGUUGACGCGCGUGUGUGCGUG
RNAcentral lists this ribosomal RNA (774 nucleotides) under uncultured Neocallimastigales. RNAcentral describes it as "partial large subunit ribosomal RNA". It matches the Rfam family "Eukaryotic large subunit ribosomal RNA", at positions 24 to 639 of the family's 3401-position model. The record is from RNAcentral. Lineage: Eukaryota; Fungi; Neocallimastigomycota; Neocallimastigomycetes; Neocallimastigales.